RNAcentral lists this transfer RNA (68 nucleotides) under Ailurus fulgens (lesser panda). RNAcentral describes it as "tRNA-Val". RNAcentral also lists the same sequence under 1 other name. The record is from RNAcentral. Lineage: Eukaryota; Metazoa; Chordata; Mammalia; Carnivora; Ailuridae.
CAAAGCGUAGCUUAACCAAAGCAUCUGGCCUACGCCCAGAAGAUUUCACAUACUCGUGACCACUUUGA